CCGCGGGAGAGGAGAGCAGGGCGCCCGCUUCGUCCCACCGCCGCGCCGCAGCCCCGGGGACAGUGAAGGGACAGCGAGGGGCCGGGCCUGGCACCGACGCAGGCUGGGGGAGCGCGGGCGGUGGAAGGCGGCGUGCAUCGAACAGGAAGUGCACGGCGUGCCGCGCCGCUCGCCCGCUCCCCCCGCCGCUUAACGCCGCCCCCGGGUGGCCGCGCGCUGUCGCCUGCCUGGCGGGCGGCGGCUCCCCUCCCCUGCGGUCGCGGCGGCGCGGGGCUCGGUCGGAGCUGAUUGCUGAUCCACCUCGUCCCCCAACGUCUCCGUUGAUGCCUGACCCCCUGAAACACGCACACGCGCCCUGUGCCCCGCAGACCUCGCACGGCGGAAGCAUUGGGUUUCGGUGGGACGCGCAUUGACCCGCACGUGCUUCCCGGAAAACCGCGGCCCCGGGUCCCUGCCCGCCGGCGUGCGGACCUGAAUGCGCGCAGGGGGCGGUGUGUGUUGCUGGGGGAGUGCGGGUUUUCACCCCCCGAGCCCACCCCACCUGGCUGUUUUCAGGUUCGACAAGAAUUGCGCGGUGGAUCCGCGUCCAGAAUGAAGCCGGACAGGAAAAGCGUCCUCGUCCUGGAAUAGUGCUUGCCUAACAGAAGGGUGAUGAGGCUCUGGAGGGGGCCACUGUCUGGAUUCAGACACCUAGUGGCCAUCCCCGCCCCACAGGUGUGGAAUUUCUUGCUUUGACCUUUUUCUGACCGGCUGCCUUCCGGAGACAGGAGACUGCAUGAUUCCACUAACCGCUGGAAACGUUGGUUGGAAGCAGGAAAGAGUGGGCCUUUAGCCUAUGUGAUGGAGUUUAAGGGACCAAGGACCACCCUUACCCACUCAAAAUUACUCCCCAACUGUCAUUUCAGUUUCUUCUGUUUAGCUUAAAAUGUUAAUCCCUGUCACAAUAAUUUGCCAGGGAUGAAAUCACACCAUUUGAUGAGAACUGGUUUUGAAAGGAAAGACAGAGAAGUGGGGAGGGAGCAAGUUGAUGGAAGGGAAGUUUAGGAAGAAGCACAGGGAGGGGAUUCAGACUGAGGAAGCCCAGUGUUAUUUCUCGCACUAAAUGCUGGGCCUGGGGCCUGUGCUGGUUGAUGGGCAGUGUUUAACAAGUGUUAUAAUAUGUACUUUUGUCAGUUGAUUUGUGUAAAUAUGCCCAAUCGUUCAUUAAUAAAAUUAAUUUGUUCUCUGAGUUUA
Ceratotherium simum simum (southern white rhinoceros) is the source of this 1233-nucleotide non-coding RNA. NCBI's taxonomy places the organism in Eukaryota, Metazoa, Chordata, Mammalia, Perissodactyla, Rhinocerotidae. The record is from RefSeq and is a predicted model, not a curated record.